UGGCUCAGUGGUAGAGCACUUGCCUUACAUGCAUGAGGCCCUGGGUUCGAUUCCUCAG
This 58-nucleotide transfer RNA is filed under the name Dipodomys ordii (Ord's kangaroo rat). It matches the Rfam family "tRNA", at positions 8 to 63 of the family's 71-position model. From Rfam's summary of the family: Transfer RNA (tRNA) molecules are approximately 80 nucleotides in length. Their secondary structure includes four short double-helical elements and three loops (D, anti-codon, and T loops). Lineage: Eukaryota; Metazoa; Chordata; Mammalia; Rodentia; Heteromyidae. The record is from Rfam by way of RNAcentral.